Xiphophorus couchianus (Monterrey platyfish) is the source of this 137-nucleotide long non-coding RNA. RefSeq lists it as uncharacterized. NCBI's taxonomy places the organism in Eukaryota, Metazoa, Chordata, Actinopteri, Cyprinodontiformes, Poeciliidae. The record is from RefSeq and is a predicted model, not a curated record. The transcript is spliced from 3 exons.
GAAGGAUCGUGAGGUCCCGCUUUCACGGUCUGUAUUCAUACUGAAAAUCAAGAUCAAGCAAGCUUUUGCCCUUCUGCUCCACGGGAGGUUUCUGUCCUCCCUGAGUUCGCAUUAGAGAGUGUGUAGAGAAAGAGUGU